This 73-nucleotide transfer RNA is filed under the name Klebsiella aerogenes. Its description in RNAcentral is "tRNA-Val". It matches the Rfam family "tRNA". From Rfam's summary of the family: Transfer RNA (tRNA) molecules are approximately 80 nucleotides in length. Their secondary structure includes four short double-helical elements and three loops (D, anti-codon, and T loops). Lineage: Bacteria; Pseudomonadati; Pseudomonadota; Gammaproteobacteria; Enterobacterales; Enterobacteriaceae. The record is from RNAcentral.
GGGUGAUUAGCUCAGCUGGGAGAGCACCUCCCUUACAAGGAGGGGGUCGGCGGUUCGAUCCCGUCAUCGUCUG